Oncorhynchus tshawytscha (Chinook salmon) is the source of this 601-nucleotide long non-coding RNA. The record is from Ensembl. Lineage: Eukaryota; Metazoa; Chordata; Actinopteri; Salmoniformes; Salmonidae.
GUCAGAGAGAAGUGAGAGAAUGAGAGAGGGAGGUCAGACAGAAGUGAGAGAGGGAGGUCAGACAGAAGUGAGAGAAUGAGAGAGGGAGAUCAGAGAGAAGUGAGAGAAUAAGAGAGGGAGGUCAGAGAGAAGUGAGAGAAUGAGAGAGGGAGGUCAGACAGAAGUGAGAGAGGGAGGUCAGACAGAAGUGAGAGAGGGAGAGAGGGAGGUCAGAGAGAAGUGAGAGAAUAAGAGAGGGAUGUCAGAGAGAAGUGAGAGAAUGAGAGAGGCAGGUCAAAGAGAAGUGAGAGAAUAAGAGAGGGAGGUCAGAGAGAAGUGAGAGAAUGAGAGAGGGAGGUCAGAGAGAAGUGAGAGAAUGAGAGAGGGAGGUCAGACAGAAGAGAGAGAGGGAGGUCAGACAGAAGUGAGAGAAUGAGAGAGGGAGGUCAGACAGAAGUGAGAGAGGGAGGUCAGAGAAGAGAGAGGGAGGUCAGAGAGAAGUGGGAGAAUAAGAGACAGAGGUCAGACAGAAGUGAGAGAAUGAGAGAGGGAGGUCAGAGAGAAGUGAGAGAAUAAGAGAGGGAGGUCAGAGAGAAGUGAGAGAAUAAGAGAGGGAUGUCAG